GGGGAUGUAAUUCAGUGGUAGAACACUUGCCUAGUACGUGUGAGGCCCUGGGUUCAAUUCCCAGCACCA
Molecule: transfer RNA, 69 nt
Filed under: Heterocephalus glaber (naked mole-rat)
Lineage: Eukaryota; Metazoa; Chordata; Mammalia; Rodentia; Bathyergidae
Rfam family: tRNA
About the family: Transfer RNA (tRNA) molecules are approximately 80 nucleotides in length. Their secondary structure includes four short double-helical elements and three loops (D, anti-codon, and T loops).
Source: Rfam by way of RNAcentral